RNAcentral lists this ribosomal RNA (253 nucleotides) under uncultured bacterium. RNAcentral describes it as "partial 16S ribosomal RNA". It matches the Rfam family "Bacterial small subunit ribosomal RNA", at positions 524 to 776 of the family's 1533-position model. The record is from RNAcentral.
UACGAAGGGGGCAAGCGUUGUUCGGAAUUACUGGGCGUAAAGGGCGCGUAGGCGGCCUGUUAAGUCGAACGUGAAAUCCCCGGGCUCAACCCGGGAACUGCGUCCGAUACUGGCAGGCUUGAAUUCGGGAGAGGGAUGCGGAAUUCCAGGUGUAGCGGUGAAAUGCGUAGAUAUCUGGAGGAACACCGGUGGCGAAGGCGGCAUCAUGGACCGAGAUUGACGCUGAGGCGCGAAAGCCAGGGGAGCAAACGGG